Molecule: long non-coding RNA, 1159 nt
Filed under: Homo sapiens (human)
Lineage: Eukaryota; Metazoa; Chordata; Mammalia; Primates; Hominidae
Description: HSALNT0321722
Source: RNAcentral
GCGACCUCCCCGCCAGGUCCUGUGUGUUGCCAGCCGAAGAAGGGUAGCUGAAAAAUUCAGACCCAGCACAGUGUUUAUGUUGGUCAAAAAUAGAAAACUAUGUCUGGCGCCGCCGAGGCGGGAGGACCCUUCAGGCCAAGAGCAGCCUAGCAACAUGGCGCAACCCCAUCUCUGUAGUCCUACCUCAGCUCCCCCCAGCUGAGGGGGGCUCAGCCCCCCAGCCCUCAAGUAUGAACCCAACGGUUCAAGGCUCCAGUGAGCUAUGAUCCCAUCACAGCAUUCCAGCCUGCGAGAUUGAGGCCCUCACAAUCCAGUGGAGGAGACGAAACUCAUCUGCCUCUGUCCCUCUGGGCACGCCUCAUGCCAGGUGCAUCUGUGGACAGGGGCCAUGCUCCUGGGCUUCCAAAGUUGGAGAAAGCUGCCAGGCUCAGAGCCACCUAAGCUGAAGAUUCCCUUGAGAACAAGUACUGUCCUGCGGUUUCAUGGCCUUUCUUCCAUUUGUGGUUCUUGCGAAGUGGAAUUUAAAUGACAUCUUAUCAAGAUCGAUAAAUACUAGUUUCCCAGUGCUGGAAUAUAGAAAAUGGAUGGACAAGUAAAUCCCACUCAGCACCCAUAGUCCAGGCAUGGGGACCUCAACACACCUGAGCCCCAAACAUCACCUUUCAUUCUGGACCUACCAUGAAAGACUUCUGAAUCCAGGAAGAGAAACUGACUGGGCAACAUGUUAUUCAGAAACAGGACCUUGCCCUGUCACUCAGGAUGGAGUUCAAUGGUCCUAUCAUGGCUCAUUAUAGCCUUAAACUCCCAGGCUCAAGCAAUCCUACCAUGUCAGCCUUCCCAGUAGCUGGGACUACAGGAAGUGACCUCACAAUGACUCAAGCUACCACAUACUGUUGAUUGUGAAAUGCCAGUUGAAGCAUAUGUCCUGCGAGCUUAGGGGUGCUACAAGUUGACCACUGCAGCAGUAAAGAUGACUCUGAAGAAUGGCAUGGGAUGGAUCCUUUCGAAUGCACUUGAGCAGCGGUCUCCAACCACAGGGCCACAGAGCUGGAGCUGGAUCUACCAUGAAAGACUUCUGAAUCCAGGAAGAGAGACUGACUGGGCAACAUGUUAUUCAGGGUCUCCCUCUGUUGUCCAAGGCUGGAGUGUAGUAGUGCUA